AUUAACUUAGCAUAAGAUAGUGUGCGAGAUUGUAGAUCUUGAGGUAAGUUUACACUUAGUUAAGA
Molecule: transfer RNA, 65 nt
Filed under: Alaria americana
Lineage: Eukaryota; Metazoa; Platyhelminthes; Trematoda; Diplostomida; Diplostomidae
Description: tRNA-Tyr
Source: RNAcentral